This 1474-nucleotide ribosomal RNA is filed under the name Escherichia coli. RNAcentral's name for it is "partial 23S ribosomal RNA". It matches the Rfam family "Bacterial large subunit ribosomal RNA", at positions 295 to 1776 of the family's 2925-position model. Lineage: Bacteria; Pseudomonadati; Pseudomonadota; Gammaproteobacteria; Enterobacterales; Enterobacteriaceae. The record is from RNAcentral.
GAGCAGCCCAGAGCCUGAAUCAGUGUGUGUGUUAGUGGAAGCGUCUGGAAAGGCGUGCGAUACAGGGUGACAGCCCCGUACACAAAAAUGCACAUAUUGUGAGCUCGAUGAGUAGGGCGGGACACGUGGUAUCCUGUCUGAAUAUGGGGGGACCAUCCUCCAAGGCUAAAUACUCCUGACUGACCGAUAGUGAACCAGUACCGUGAGGGAAAGGCGAAAAGAACCCCGGCGAGGGGAGUGAAAAAGAACCUGAAACCGUGUACGUACAAGCAGUGGGAGCACGCUUAGGCGUGUGACUGCGUACCUUUUGUAUAAUGGGUCAGCGACUUAUAUUCUGUAGCAAGGUUAACCGAAUAGGGGAGCCGAAGGGAAACCGAGUCUUAACUGGGCGUUAAGUUGCAGGGUAUAGACCCGAAACCCGGUGAUCUAGCCAUGGGCAGGUUGAAGGUUGGGUAACACUAACUGGAGGACCGAACCGACUAAUGUUGAAAAAUUAGCGGAUGACUUGUGGCUGGGGGUGAAAGGCCAAUCAAACCGGGAGAUAGCUGGUUCUCCCCGAAAGCUAUUUAGGUAGCGCCUCGUGAAUUCAUCUCCGGGGGUAGAGCACUGUUUCGGCAAGGGGGUCAUCCCGACUUACCAACCCGAUGCAAACUGCGAAUACCGGAGAAUGUUAUCACGGGAGACACACGGCGGGUGCUAACGUCCGUCGUGAAGAGGGAAACAACCCAGACCGCCAGCUAAGGUCCCAAAGUCAUGGUUAAGUGGGAAACGAUGUGGGAAGGCCCAGACAGCCAGGAUGUUGGCUUAGAAGCAGCCAUCAUUUAAAGAAAGCGUAAUAGCUCACUGGUCGAGUCGGCCUGCGCGGAAGAUGUAACGGGGCUAAACCAUGCACCGAAGCUGCGGCAGCGACGCUGAUGCGUUGUUGGGUAGGGGAGCGUUCUGUAAGCCUGCGAAGGUGUGCUGUGAGGCAUGCUGGAGGUAUCAGAAGUGCGAAUGCUGACAUAAGUAACGAUAAAGCGGGUGAAAAGCCCGCUCGCCGGAAGACCAAGGGUUCCUGUCCAACGUUAAUCGGGGCAGGGUGAGUCGACCCCUAAGGCGAGGCCGAAAGGCGUAGUCGAUGGGAAACAGGUUAAUAUUCCUGUACUUGGUGUUACUGCGAAGGGGGGACGGAGAAGGCUAUGUUGGCCGGGCGACGGUUGUCCCGGUUUAAGCGUGUAGGCUGGUUUUCCAGGCAAAUCCGGAAAAUCAAGGCUGAGGCGUGAUGACGAGGCACUACGGUGCUGAAGCAACAAAUGCCCUGCUUCCAGGAAAAGCCUCUAAGCAUCAGGUAACAUCAAAUCGUACCCCAAACCGACACAGGUGGUCAGGUAGAGAAUACCAAGGCGCUUGAGAGAACUCGGGUGAAGGAACUAGGCAAAAUGGUGCCGUAACUUCGGGAGAAGGCACGCUGAUAUGUAGGUGAAGUCCCUCGCGG